AGUUUGAUCCUGGCUCAGGACGAACGCUGGCGGCGUGCCUAACACAUGCAAGUCGAACGAAGCUUGACGAAUGAUUUCUUCGGGAUGAAAUCUGAUAUGACUGAGUGGCGGACGGGUGAGUAACGCGUGAGCAACCUGCCCUUGGAAGGGUAUGUUGGAACGACAUAUACCUUAUAAUUUUUUCCCCCAAUAAAAAACAAAAAUGAGUGCGGAGGAGGGUUGGUUUGAUAAAUAGUGGGGGGAACGCCUUCCAAUUGGAGACCGUAGCCGGAUGAAGGUGAACGCCCCAUUGGGAUGAGACCGGCCCAAAUUCUUAGGGGAGCACCAGUGGGAAUUUUCACAAUGGGGAAACCCUGAUGAAGAACGCCGCGUAAAGGAGACGGUUUUCGGAUUGUAAAUUUUUGUUCUUAGUGAAGAAUAAUGACGGUAGUUAAGGAGCAAGCCACGGCUAACUACGUGCCAGCAGCGGCGGUAAUACGUAGGUGGCAAGCGUUGUCCGGAAUUACUGGGUGUAAAGGGAGCGUAGGCGGGAUGCCAAGUCAGCUGUGAAAACUAUGGGCUUAACCUGUAGACUGCAGUUGAAACUGGUAUUCUUGAGUGAGGUAGAGGUUGGCGGAAUUCCGAGUGUAGCGGUGAAAUGCGUAGAUAUCCGGAGGAACACCGGUGGCGAAGGCGGCCAACUGGGCUUUAACUGACGCUGAGGCUCGAAAGUGUGGGGAGCAAACAGGAUUAGAUACCCUGGUAGUCCACACUGUAAACGAUGAUAACUAGGUGUGGGGGGUCUGACCCCUUCCGUGCCGCAGCUAACGCAAUAAGUUAUCCACCUGGGGAGUACGACCGCAAGGUUGAAACUCAAAGGAAUUGACGGGGACCCGCACAAGCAGUGGAUUAUGUGGUUUAAUUCGAAGCAACGCGAAGAACCUUACCAGCACUUGACAUCCGACUAACGAAGUAGAGAUACAUUAGGUGCCCUUCGGGGAAAGUCGAGACAGGUGGUGCAUGGUUGUCGUCAGCUCGUGUCGUGAGAUGUUGGGUUAAGUCCCGCAACGAGCGCAACCCCUGCCAUUAGUUGCUACGCAAGAGCACUCUAAUGGGACCGCUACCGACAAGGUGGAGGAAGGUGGGGACGACGUCAAAUCAUCAUGCCCCUUAUGUGCUGGGCUACACACGUAAUACAAUGGCCAUCAACAAAGAGAAGCAAUACCGCGAGGUGGAGCAAAACUUCAAAAAUGGUCUCAGUUCGGACUGCAGGCUGCAACCCGCCUGCACGAAGUUGGAAUUGCUAGUAAUCGUGGAUCAGCAUGCCACGGUGAAUACGUUCCCGGGUCUUGCACACACCGCCCGUC
RNAcentral lists this ribosomal RNA (1346 nucleotides) under uncultured bacterium. RNAcentral's name for it is "bacterial SSU rRNA". It matches the Rfam family "Bacterial small subunit ribosomal RNA". The record is from RNAcentral.